RNAcentral lists this ribosomal RNA (516 nucleotides) under Neofavolus mikawae. RNAcentral's name for it is "partial small subunit ribosomal RNA". It matches the Rfam family "Bacterial small subunit ribosomal RNA", at positions 365 to 950 of the family's 1533-position model. The record is from RNAcentral. Lineage: Eukaryota; Fungi; Basidiomycota; Agaricomycetes; Polyporales; Polyporaceae.
UAGUCAAUGCUCGCAAGAGUGAACUAGCUAACUGAAAUCAAAGAGUUUAUUUAAACUCAUGAUGUCGUAAGGGAAAAUAAUGAUAAUACCUUACUAUUAGUGUCGUCCAAAUCUGGUGCCAGAAGACUCGGUAAGACCAGAGACGCAAACGUUAAUCAUCAUAAUCAGGCGUAAAGGGUUUGUAGGCAGCUCUCAAUUAAUUAAGAGCUAGAAUCAAAAAGAGGUUAUAGUGUAUAACGCCUAGAGGAGGGCUGAUAUCCAUAGAUCCUAGGCAGAAUACUCAGGGCGAAGGCCACUCUCCACUAAUGAUUGACGCUGAGAAACGAAGGUUAGGGUAGGAAAUAGGAUUAGAUACCCCGGUACUCCUUUCUGUAAACGAUGAAUGGUAGUCAUUAGUUUUUUUACUAGAGACGAAGUUAACACAAUAACCAUUCCGCCUUGUGAGUACUACUGCAAAGUAGAAAACAAAAAAAUUAGUCGGUCUCGAAGCAAACGGAGUGAAGCAUGUUAUUUAAU